Molecule: non-coding RNA, 117 nt
Filed under: Bacillus sp. (in: firmicutes)
Lineage: Bacteria; Bacillati; Bacillota; Bacilli; Caryophanales; Bacillaceae
Also listed under: 1 other name
Description: Bacillus sp. TPP sequence
Rfam family: TPP riboswitch aptamer (THI element)
About the family: Vitamin B(1) in its active form thiamin pyrophosphate (TPP) is an essential coenzyme that is synthesised by coupling of pyrimidine and thiazole moieties in bacteria. The previously detected thiamin-regulatory element, thi box was extended, resulting in a new, highly conserved RNA secondary structure, the THI element, which is widely distributed in eubacteria and also occurs in some archaea.
Source: RNAcentral
GUGUUGAACUAGGGGUGUCCGGUUAGUCCGGACUGAGAGGGAGAAGCGUUUAAGUUUUCCUAACUCUUUGGACCUGAUCUGGCUCGUACCAGCGUGGGGAAGUUUCGAUUCAUUAUA